Molecule: ribosomal RNA, 116 nt
Filed under: Pteropus alecto (black flying fox)
Lineage: Eukaryota; Metazoa; Chordata; Mammalia; Chiroptera; Pteropodidae
Also listed under: 1 other name
Source: RNAcentral
GUCUACGGCCAUGUCACCCUGAAUAAGCCCGAUGUCUGAUCUCGGAAGCUAAGCAGGGGCGGGCCUGGUUAGUACUGGGAUGGGAGACCACUAAGGAAGACCAGGUGCUGUAGGCA